CUACGGGAGGCAGCAGUGGGGAAUAUUGGACAAUGGGGGAAACCCUGAUCCAGCAAUGCCGCGUGUGUGAAGAAGGCCUGCGGGUUGUAAAGCACUUUCGGUUGGGAGGACUGCUUCUAGCACUAAUAUUGUUGGAAGUUGACGUUACCUUCAGAAGAAGCACCGGCUAACUCCGUGCCAGCAGCCGCGGUAAUACGGAGGGUGCAGGCGUUAAUCGGAAUUACUGGGUGUAAAGCGCGCGUAGGCGGCUAGAUCAGUCGGGUGUGAAAGCCCCGGGCUUAACCUGGGAACUGCAUCCGAUACUGUCUAGCUUGAGUACAGGAGAGGAGAGUGGAAUUCCACAUGUAGCGGUGAAAUGCGUAGAUAUGUGGAGGAACACCAAUGGCGAAGGCAGCUCUCUGGCCUGAUACUGACGCUGAGGUGCGAAAGCGUGGGGAGCAAAUAGGAUUAGAUACCCCUGUAGUC
This 465-nucleotide ribosomal RNA is filed under the name uncultured bacterium. RNAcentral describes it as "partial 16S ribosomal RNA". It matches the Rfam family "Bacterial small subunit ribosomal RNA", at positions 339 to 795 of the family's 1533-position model. The record is from RNAcentral.